UACGUAGGGUGCAAGCGUUGUCCGGAAUUAUUGGGCGUAAAGAGCUCGUAGGCGGUCUGUCGCGUCUGCUGUGAAAACUCAGGGCUUAACCCUGAGCUUGCAGUGGGUACGGGCAGACUAGAGUGCGGUAGGGGAGACUGGAAUUCCUGGUGUAGCGGUGAAAUGCGCAGAUAUCAGGGAGGAACACCGGUGGCGAAGGCGGCCAUCUGGCUCGGUACUGACGCUCGAGGCGCGAAAGCGU
This 241-nucleotide ribosomal RNA is filed under the name uncultured bacterium. RNAcentral describes it as "partial 16S ribosomal RNA". It matches the Rfam family "Bacterial small subunit ribosomal RNA", at positions 524 to 762 of the family's 1533-position model. The record is from RNAcentral.